UACGAAGGGGGCUAGCGUUGCUCGGAAUCACUGGGCGUAAAGCGCGCGUAGGCGGGUCGUUAAGUCGGGGGUGAAAUCCUGGAGCUCAACUCCAGAACUGCCUUUGAUACUGGCGAUCUUGAGUCCGGGAGAGGUGAGUGGAACUCCGAGUGUAGAGGUGAAAUUCGUAGAUAUUCGGAAGAACACCCGUGGCGAAGGCGGCUCUCUGGAACGCAACUGACGCUGAGACGCGAAAGCGUGGGGAGCAAACAGG
Molecule: ribosomal RNA, 253 nt
Filed under: uncultured bacterium
Lineage: Bacteria
Description: partial 16S ribosomal RNA
Rfam family: Bacterial small subunit ribosomal RNA
Source: RNAcentral